Non-coding RNA from Peltaster fructicola, 72 nucleotides. The record is from the annotation of a GenBank genome assembly. NCBI's taxonomy places the organism in Eukaryota, Fungi, Ascomycota, Dothideomycetes.
AGCUGAGUGGCGCAGCGGAAGCGCGCCGGGCUCAUAACCCGGAGGGCAAUGGAUCGAAACCAUUCUCAGCUA